RNAcentral lists this RNase P RNA (336 nucleotides) under Dielma fastidiosa. RNAcentral describes it as "Clostridiaceae bacterium JC13 Bacterial RNase P class B". It matches the Rfam family "Bacterial RNase P class B". Rfam says of the family: Ribonuclease P (RNase P) is a ubiquitous endoribonuclease, found in archaea, bacteria and eukarya as well as chloroplasts and mitochondria. Its best characterised activity is the generation of mature 5'-ends of tRNAs by cleaving the 5'-leader elements of precursor-tRNAs. Cellular RNase Ps are ribonucleoproteins. Lineage: Bacteria; Bacillati; Bacillota; Erysipelotrichia; Erysipelotrichales; Erysipelotrichaceae. The record is from Rfam by way of RNAcentral. RNAcentral also lists the same sequence under 1 other name.
ACAUUUGGGCAACCGCUGACUGCCUGCAGUUAGAGGAAAGUCCAUGCUCGCACGUCCUGCGAUGGACGUAGUGUUUGUGCUGGCUGAAUCAAUAAGGCCAGGCAGAGAAAUCUGACGGCCGGUAAUUCGCCUAAGGGAAACUAUGGCGGAACCGUUAAUGUGCCACAGAGACGAGCGCUGAAGAAAUUCAGCGGAUGGAACGGGUAAACCCCACAAGCGAGAAACCCAAAUUUGGUAGGGGAAUCUGUGUGAAUGAACUGAAAGGAUCACAGGACAUAGCAAUAUGUAGAUAAAUGGUUGCCACUUCUUAGGAAGGACAGAACAUGGCUUACAAAA